RNAcentral lists this ribosomal RNA (249 nucleotides) under uncultured Phycisphaerales bacterium. RNAcentral's name for it is "partial 16S ribosomal RNA". It matches the Rfam family "Bacterial small subunit ribosomal RNA", at positions 355 to 621 of the family's 1533-position model. Lineage: Bacteria; Pseudomonadati; Planctomycetota; Phycisphaerae; Phycisphaerales. The record is from RNAcentral.
CAACGAAUCUUCCGCAAUGGGCGCAAGCCUGACGGAGCAAUGUCGCGUGCGGGAUGAAGCGUCUCUGACGUGUAAACCGCUGUCAGGGGGUCGAACCAAUGAUUGCCCCCAGAGGAAGUGGCGACUAACUCUGUGCCAGCAGUCGCGGUAAUACAGAGGCCACGAACGUUAUUCGGAAUCACUGGGCUUAAAGGGUGCGUAGGCGGGCCGCCAAGUGUUCUGUGAAAGCCCCGGGCUCAACCCGGGAAC